AGCACAUAGGGGUAUUUGAACGAUCUACGCGGCCAAAAGUCAAUUUUUCAAAAUAUGAAAUACUUCCACGAAAUCGGGUACCUGGGGUACCUGACCCUUCUGGGAACAAUAUGCAAUGCCUCUAAUUAACCUUAAGUGCAUGUCGGACCGGUAAUGUCAGUCGGAAUUCGAUCGUGUCACCUCGUGUACGUUAUCUGUUCUCGGCGCUCUUACGAAACCUGAAGUUUGAAAGUGAAAUUUUAAGUUAUUAAGUUCCUCAGUGUUGAAAAAAACUAAUGGAUCCUCUAACACAAGGGUCACUGGGUACAUCGGGGAUGAGAAUCGUGACUAGAAAGUACUUGUUUGACCGCAUGACGAGUGCAAAUUUACCCAACUUAGAAGAAAAAUUUGAUUUCUUGAAAGUUCAACUUUUUUCUACUGAAGGAUACAACAAUGACCAAAUUGAGACAUUGAAAAAAAACU
Molecule: long non-coding RNA, 462 nt
Organism: Plutella xylostella (diamondback moth)
Lineage: Eukaryota; Metazoa; Arthropoda; Insecta; Lepidoptera; Plutellidae
Source: RefSeq, a predicted model, not a curated record